UUUUUCAAAGCUUAGCAAGCUGAUUAACCUCCAAUAGGCUAAGAACACACCUCUUUUCACAAUUUUUUUCAUUGUAGGAGUACAAGGCUAAAGGUAUUCUUUUCUAAAUUGUCCAUGUAACGGGGGUCCAUCGAUGACUCCCAACCAAUUAAGGUUUAGGGCAUCAAGCUUUAAGGAUCUUUCAACCACUAACUCCUCGAAUUUUACC
This 208-nucleotide long non-coding RNA is filed under the name Vitis vinifera (wine grape). RNAcentral describes it as "long non-coding RNA (VVIN_LNC001041)". Lineage: Eukaryota; Viridiplantae; Streptophyta; Magnoliopsida; Vitales; Vitaceae. The record is from RNAcentral.